Molecule: non-coding RNA, 792 nt
Organism: Phoenix dactylifera (date palm)
Lineage: Eukaryota; Viridiplantae; Streptophyta; Magnoliopsida; Arecales; Arecaceae
Source: RefSeq, a predicted model, not a curated record
CGCAGCAGGGGCACGGCUCGGAGAAGCCGACGGUGGCGGAGGAGGACUCGAGCCGCACCUCCGAGAUGUACGCCGUCACCUCGGCAGCUUCCGGCGGGUUCUUGGAAGCCGCUUCCAUCUCUGGUCUCUCUCCCACUUUUGGUAGAUAGGGCGUUCGAUUUCUUGUUCAAAUUGUGGGGAGGGUGGGAACGGAGUCUCUUAUAUGGGGAGGAGACGGCGGUCGAGAUUGUCCGCCUAAGGCAUCGGGCGGCUGAAAUUGCUCUGCAGGUAUUUUCUCUAGCAUGAACAUCCUCCUGAUUGCUGUUCCGUCUGCGAGGCAGUGACGGUGGGCUUCAAGUUGACGUCAACCAUGUCUUCCUGUUUGGACGAAGAAAGAGUCUCCAUCCCUGGUAAGGCUGCAGCAAUCUUGCGGAAGAGAGGCUGCAAUUGUCCAUUUUUAUUUCAACAUUAGUAACCAGGAAGUGAUGUUGGAAAAGAACAUAGUCAAGCAGAUACGAUUCACCUUGAUGUUGAAUCCUGCUUUCGCACUGGUCUCUAUGAACAUGACCCCAAAUUCACGGGCCUUGGCUUCUCCUUCUUCAAUAGAAACUUGCCUGUUAUCAGGGGCAGAAAACAUGGUUGUUUGCAACUGUAAUGGAAUUAUAGCUGAAGAAGAUGCAGGUAAAAUCACAUAGUGUAGGCUAAGGUGAAUCAGCUAGAAAAAGGAUUUCCUAAAAAAAUUAAUAAUCUGAUCGCUGCUUGGCUUUGCAUUUCAAGAAAUUAAGUCCAUAUGCGGCAGCAGACAGUUGGACA